GACGAACGCUGGCGGCGUGCCUAAUACAUGCAAGUAGAACGCUGAAGGAGGAGCUUGCUUCUCUGGAUGAGUUGCGAACGGGUGAGUAACGCGUAGGUAACCUGCCUGGUAGCGGGGGAUAACUAUUGGAAACGAUAGCUAAUACCGCAUAAGAGUAGAUGUUGCAUGACAUUUGCUUAAAAGGUGCAAUUGCAUCACUACCAGAUGGACCUGCGUUGUAUUAGCUAGUUGGUGGGGUAACGGCUCACCAAGGCGACGAUACAUAGCCGACCUGAGAGGGUGAUCGGCCACACUGGGACUGAGACACGGCCCAGACUCCUACGGGAGGCAGCAGUAGGGAAUCUUCGGCAAGGGACGGAAGUCUGACCGAGCAACGCCGCGUGAGUGAAGAAGGUUUUCGGAUCGUAAAGCUCUGUUGUAAGAGAAGAACGAGUGUGAGAGUGGAAAGUUCUCACUGUGACGGUAUCUUACCAGAAAGGGACGGCUAACUACGUG
RNAcentral lists this ribosomal RNA (495 nucleotides) under uncultured bacterium. Its description in RNAcentral is "partial 16S ribosomal RNA". It matches the Rfam family "Bacterial small subunit ribosomal RNA", at positions 28 to 507 of the family's 1533-position model. The record is from RNAcentral.